Molecule: ribosomal RNA, 253 nt
Filed under: uncultured bacterium
Lineage: Bacteria
Description: partial 16S ribosomal RNA
Rfam family: Bacterial small subunit ribosomal RNA
Source: RNAcentral
UACGUAGGGCGCAAGCGUUGUCCGGAAUUAUUGGGCGUAAAGAGCUCGUAGGCGGUUUGUCGCGUCUGCUGUGAAAACCUAAGGCUCAACCUUGGGCUUGCAGUGGGUACGGGCAGACUAGAGUGCGGUAGGGGUGACUGGAAUUCCUGGUGUAGCGGUGGAAUGCGUAGAGAUCCGGAAGAACACCGGAGGCGAAGGCGGCUUGCUGGACCUGGUCUGACGCUGAGGCGCGAAAGCGUGGGGAGCGAACAGG